UCCGAUAUGGUGUAAUGGCUAGCACAGUUCGCUCUCACCCAGCAGAUCGGGGUUCGAUUCCCCGUAUCGGAG
This 72-nucleotide transfer RNA is filed under the name Candidozyma auris. Its description in RNAcentral is "[Candida] auris tRNA-Glu". It matches the Rfam family "tRNA". From Rfam's summary of the family: Transfer RNA (tRNA) molecules are approximately 80 nucleotides in length. Their secondary structure includes four short double-helical elements and three loops (D, anti-codon, and T loops). Further hydrogen bonds mediate the characteristic L-shaped molecular structure. tRNAs have two regions of fundamental functional importance: the anti-codon, which is responsible for specific mRNA codon recognition, and the 3' end, to which the tRNAs corresponding amino acid is attached (by aminoacyl-tRNA synthetases). tRNAs cope with the degeneracy of the genetic code in two manners: having more than one tRNA (with a specific anti-codon) for a particular amino acid; and 'wobble' base-pairing, i.e. permitting non-standard base-pairing at the 3rd anti-codon position. Lineage: Eukaryota; Fungi; Ascomycota; Pichiomycetes; Serinales; Metschnikowiaceae. The record is from RNAcentral.